Mesocricetus auratus (golden hamster) is the source of this 639-nucleotide long non-coding RNA. RefSeq lists it as uncharacterized. The transcript has 3 exons. NCBI's taxonomy places the organism in Eukaryota, Metazoa, Chordata, Mammalia, Rodentia, Cricetidae. The record is from RefSeq and is a predicted model, not a curated record.
UGAGGAACUUCCUCAGUAUUUUCAUUCUGAAUCUCCACGUGGAGAUGGAUAGAGGCCAUUCCCAUAGGAUCCAUCAAGGGGAAACUAUCACAGGAGAAGGGUGGUUACCCAGGCCUUGGGGUUCAAAGAGAACAGAGACAAGCAGUGCUAUGGCUCAGAAAUCACCUGUUAGUUGUGGACUGCAUCCAAGCCCGGAACAGCCUGUGAGGAGAUCUCCAUAUAAAUGGUUCCUGCAGGACCUCCCUUUGAAUGCCUCCCUGGUCUUGGGGGUCUGACAUGGAGCCAGUUGGAGGGCGUUCCAGGAAUUUCCCAGUGGGCCUCCCUCCCAGAAACUUCAAAGUAAGCGCAGAGCUCCAGCACACCCUCCCUGGGGACUUCUGCCAUUGAGACAGACUGAGAAAACCUGACUUCCAGGUUCCAGACACCUCUGUCCCCAUGGCGCUUUGAAAGCGCUCAGGCCUAGUUGUUGCCUCCUCCAUUGGAGCCAGCAUUUGAAAUCGUCAAUGACCCACGGCUGUGUUUAAUUUUUAAAUAUGCAGAUGAUCAAAGUGUGUCCUGGGGUCCACAGUUACUACCUUUAAAUAAAUGAAAUAAAAUAAUGAUAUAGAUACUCUUAAGUCUUGAAUGUAUAAGAAUUUC